CAGUCCCGCGGUAAUACGGAGGGAGCUAGCGUUGUUCGGAAUUACUGGGCGUAAAGCGCGCGUAGGCUGACAUUUAAGUCAGGGGUGAAAUCCCGGGGCUCAACCUCGGAACUGCCUUUGAUACUGGGUGUCUUGAGUGUGGAAGAGGUAAGUGGAAUUGCGAGUGUAGAGGUGAAAUUCGUAGAUAUUCGCAGGAACACCAGUGGCGAAGGCGGCUUACUGGUCCACAACUGACGCUGAGGUGCGAAAGCGUGGGGAGCAAACAGGAUUAGAUACCCCCGUAGUCCCUGUCUCUUAUACA
Molecule: ribosomal RNA, 301 nt
Filed under: uncultured bacterium
Lineage: Bacteria
Description: partial 16S ribosomal RNA
Rfam family: Bacterial small subunit ribosomal RNA
Source: RNAcentral